UGGGGAAUAUUGCACAAUGGGCGCAAGCCUGAUGCAGCCAUGCCGCGUGUGUGAAGAAGGCCUUCGGGUUGUAAAGCACUUUCAGCGAGGAGGAAGGUGGUGAGCUUAAUACGCUCAUCAAUUGACGUUACUCGCAGAAGAAGCACCGGCUAACUCCGUGCCAGCAGCCGCGGUAAUACGGAGGGUGCAAGCGUUAAUCGGAAUUACUGGGCGUAAAGCGCACGCAGGCGGUUUGUUAAGUCAGAUGUGAAAUCCCCGGGCUCAACCUGGGAACUGCAUUUGAAACUGGCAAGCUAGAGUCUCGUAGAGGGGGGUAGAAUUCCAGGUGUAGCGGUGAAAUGCGUAGAGAUCUGGAGGAAUACCGGUGGCGAAGGCGGCCCCCUGGACGAAGACUGACGCUCAGGUGCGAAAGCGUGGGGCAGCAAACAGGAUUAGAUACCCUGGUAGUCCACGCUGUAAAACGAUGUCGAUUUUGGAGGUUGUGCCCUUGAGGCGUGGCUUCCGGAGCUAACGCGUUAAAUCGACCGCCUGGGGAGUACGGCCGCAAGGUUAAAACUUAAAGAAAUUGACGGGGUC
This 576-nucleotide ribosomal RNA is filed under the name uncultured bacterium. Its description in RNAcentral is "partial 16S ribosomal RNA". It matches the Rfam family "Bacterial small subunit ribosomal RNA", at positions 355 to 920 of the family's 1533-position model. The record is from RNAcentral.